GCCGCGCUCCGGGACUCUGAGGACACCAUGGCUAGCCGCCGGAGGCGGGAGUCGGCGUGGGCUGAGAUCACUCUGGAGAAGAAAGCCCCCAUGUCAUGAAGACAAUCAUGCAGCUUUACAGAGAGAUCCACGUAGUGAGGAACUGGAGUCUCCUGCAACUCGCAAGUCAUGCUGAGGAAGCUGUUCAAUAGCCAAGGAGGCAUUUUUUCCUGAAGAGGAUAGUGGAAAAGAAAGGACCUCCUAGAAGAUGAAGUCAAGAGUCACAAAGGACAAUAGACUAUGAACAUACCUCCAGGAAACAAAACUGAAGAUUAAGUUUUCUACACUA
Hyaena hyaena (striped hyena) is the source of this 328-nucleotide long non-coding RNA. RefSeq lists it as uncharacterized. The record is from RefSeq and is a predicted model, not a curated record. The transcript has 3 exons. NCBI's taxonomy places the organism in Eukaryota, Metazoa, Chordata, Mammalia, Carnivora, Hyaenidae.